Molecule: ribosomal RNA, 500 nt
Filed under: uncultured bacterium
Lineage: Bacteria
Description: partial 16S ribosomal RNA
Rfam family: Bacterial small subunit ribosomal RNA
Source: RNAcentral
AUUGAACGCUGGCGGCGGGCUUAACACAUGCAAGUCGAGCGGGGUGAUGGUGCUUGCACUAUCACUUAGCGGCGGACGGGUGAGUAAUGCUUAGGAAUCUGCCUGGUAGUGGGGGACAACGUUUCGAAAGGAACGCUAAUACCGCAUACGUCCUACGGGAGAAAGCAGGGGACCUUCGGGCCUUGCGCUAUCAGAUGAGCCUAGGUCGGAUUAGCUAGUUGGUGGGGUAAUGGCUCACCAAGGCGACGAUCCGUAACUGGUCUGAGAGGAUGAUCAGUCAAACUGGAACUGAGACACGGUCCAGACUCCUACGGGAGGCAGCAGUGGGGAAUAUUGGACAAUGGGCGAAAGCCUGAUCCAGCCAUGCCGCGUGUGUGAAGAAGGUCUUCGGAUUGUAAAGCACUUUAAGUUGGGAGGAAGGGCAGUAAGUUAAUACCUUGCUGUUUUGACGUUACCGACAGAAUAAGCACCGGCUAACUCUGUGCCAGCCGCCGCCGUAA